RNAcentral lists this transfer RNA (72 nucleotides) under Armatimonadota bacterium. It matches the Rfam family "tRNA". Rfam says of the family: Transfer RNA (tRNA) molecules are approximately 80 nucleotides in length. Their secondary structure includes four short double-helical elements and three loops (D, anti-codon, and T loops). The record is from Rfam by way of RNAcentral. Lineage: Bacteria; Bacillati; Armatimonadota.
GGGUCGUUAGCUCAGGGGUAGAGCAUCGCCCUUUUAAGGCGAGUGUCGUUGGUUCGAGACCAACACGACCCA